GACGAACGCUGGCGGCGUGCUUAACACAUGCAAGUCGUACGGUAAGGCCCUUUCUGGGGUACACGAGUGGCGCACGGGUGAGUAACACGUGAGUAACCUGCCCACAACUUUGGGAUAACGCUAGGAAACUGGUGCUAAUACUGGAUAUGUGCUCCUGCUGCAUGGUGGGGGUUGGAAAGCUCCGGCGGUUGUGGAUGGACUCGCGGCCUAUCAGCUUGUUGGUGGGGUAGUGGCCUACCAAGGCGGCGACGGGUAGCCGGCCUGAGAGGGUGACCGGCCACAUUGGGACUGGGAUACGGCCCAGACUCCUACGGGAGGCAGCAGUGGGGAAUAGUGCACAAUGGGCGCAAGCCUGAUGCAGCAACGCCGCGUGCGGGAUGACGGCCUUCGGGUUGGAAACCGCUUUCAGCAGGGACGAAGCUUUUUGUGACGGUACCUGCAGAAGAAGCACCGGCUAACUACGUG
Molecule: ribosomal RNA, 465 nt
Filed under: uncultured bacterium
Lineage: Bacteria
Description: partial 16S ribosomal RNA
Rfam family: Bacterial small subunit ribosomal RNA
Source: RNAcentral